AAAUCUCGGAGCACGGGCUUUGCCUCCACGUCCUAGCGAAGCCCCAGGAUAACGAAGCGAGUCUGAUGCGGCGCGUUGCCUUUGGAUUUGGCUUUAAAAUAAUCUAUCAAAUUGUGCAACGGUCAUAAGAAGAACUCCGUGGCACCGCUCCAGGACGGCCAAGACUGUGCAAAGCCACUUUCUGAAGACACUGCGCUGCUCUUUCUUGCUGCUGAUGAAAGAAAGAAAUUAAAUCAGGGACCAGGUUCCAACACACCCGGACCUUCGGCAUCAGCGCCGAAGGGGCAGUUGGUGGAAAUCACCAGAGUCGCCACUGUAAAA
This is a long non-coding RNA of Megalops cyprinoides (Indo-Pacific tarpon), 321 nucleotides long. RefSeq lists it as uncharacterized. NCBI's taxonomy places the organism in Eukaryota, Metazoa, Chordata, Actinopteri, Elopiformes, Megalopidae. The transcript has 3 exons. The record is from RefSeq and is a predicted model, not a curated record.